Molecule: ribosomal RNA, 414 nt
Filed under: uncultured bacterium
Lineage: Bacteria
Description: bacterial SSU rRNA
Rfam family: Bacterial small subunit ribosomal RNA
Source: RNAcentral
AGAGUUUGAUCCUGGCUCAGAUUGAACGCUGGCGGCAUGCUUUACACAUGCAAGUCGAACGGUAACAGGGAGCUUGCUCCGCUGACGAGUGGCGAACGGGUGAGUAAUGCAUCGGAACGUGCCUAUUUGUGGGGGAUAACGUAGCGAAAGUUACGCUAAUACCGCAUACGCCCUGAGGGGGAAAGCGGGGGAUUCGUAAGAACCUCGCGCAAUUAGAGCGGCCGAUGUCGGAUUAGCUAGUUGGUGGGGUAAAGGCUCACCAAGGCGACGAUCCGUAGCGGGUCUGAGAGGAUGAUCCGCCACACUGGGACUGAGACACGGCCCAGACUCCCACGGGAGGCAGCAGUGGGGAAUUUUGGACAAUGGGCGAAAGCCUGAUCCAGCCAUGCCGCGUGAGUGAAGAAGGCCUUCGGG